GUAGGUAUGUAUUUACAAUAUAACAUAAUAUAGUAGGAAAGUUUAUUUUUUUUUUUUUUUUUUAACAAUUUCUCUGGUCAUCGGAGAACCACACAUAUAUUAUAUGCACACGUAUAUCGAUAAUGUUAUCAUAAUACAAACGCGAUAUUAUCUUAUACGAUAUAAUAUAUAAAUAUAUAAUAUGGUACUUUAGCUAAAAUUAACGGCCGGUAUAAUGUUUAUAAUAAUAAUAAUAAUACAAGUAUAGGUAAAACGAUAUAUUAAAUUCGAAAAAAGUAUACAAUAUUUAAAAGGUCUUUGAUUUGUUUUUUUUUUUUUCAAUUAUCGUACUGUAUGUGUGUGUGUGUUUUAAACGUUGAUUGUUAUUGUGUUUUGUACAUAAUACGAAAACCUUAUGGUUUUUUUUUGUUUGGUUUUUUUUGUUUUUUUUGUUCAUCUAUGAAUAAUACAUAUACAUAUACUUGUAAAAUACACAUGAUAUGACGCGUACAAGUAUAUCGGUUUGGUUUCGAAAAUUGUUGUUUAAAAAAAUAAAAUAAAUUAUAGCUAAAGGAACUAAUCGACUUUUAUUAUUCUUUCUUUAUAAUAUUAUUAAGAAUAUUACAUUAUUAUAUUAUAUAUAUAUAUGUACCUAGUUUAAUAAUAUACCACUACAGUUAUAUACUGCAAUUAUUGUAUAGUAUUAUGUGUAUAAUUUAAUAUUAUACAUUAUAAUGUAAUCGAUAAAUAAAAUUAAAAAAUAAUGUAUAUUAUAAUAUUGUUAUGAUUAAUGUUAGUAAAUGUAUACUCGAAAAAAUAUAAAGUAAAAAAAAAAAAAAAAAAAAAAAAAAAAAUACAUAAAAAUAUAAUAAUGAAAAAUAUUAAACGUACGAUAAUAUAAUUAUUACAAUACGGUAUUAAUAAUUGUCAGCGCAAUAAUUAUUAUCAAAAAUACAUAAUACAUAGAGAGUUAAUAAUACAAUAAAAUAAAUUAAGUUCUUUCGGUUUUUUCCCGGUUCAAAAAUACUCAUCUCGUAUUCGAAAUGGAUGCGAAAAUAAUAUUACAGGACGGAGGCGCGGCGGCGUAUAAGGGCGGGACCGGGGGCAAGGGUUCGGUUGUAGGCCUCCGCGAAUAGUAAUAAAAAAAAAAAAAAACAACAGCUUUGUGAGAAAAAAAUUGGGUCUCCCCCCCCCCCCCCGUAGACUUAGUCCUGACGAAUUUGUGAAAAAAGAAGACGUACGGUUCUAACGAAGUUACAGUUGUAGGCGGUUGACGGAGUCUUUGGGUUUUUGAAGGUGGACGUUUUGGCGUGACAAUGCGCUAGCUCGGAUAUUGAAGGGAGAAAGGGGAGGGAGUAAUAAAUAUUAUCGUCGAAAAAUUGCUUACGGAUCUCCAUACGCGUCGCGUAUUGUGUUUCUAUUGUAAAGUUUUUUUUUUUGGUUUUUUUUUUUGAUUUUUUUUCACGAAAAUCGUAACUCCUGUGCCUUCUCUGACCUUUUCCCGUGCGGCCCUCCGUCCCGUUUCGUCCUAAACGCGCCGCCCGCACCGACGAGCGUGUGUAAUAAUAGUUUAUAAUAUUAUAAUAAAUAGUGUGUAAUCAUAUUUUUUUUUUUACGUUCGAAAAUGUACUUGACGUAUAUACUAUGUAUAUAGUAAU
Molecule: non-coding RNA, 1637 nt
Organism: Cinara cedri
Lineage: Eukaryota; Metazoa; Arthropoda; Insecta; Hemiptera; Aphididae
Source: the annotation of a GenBank genome assembly